AGCUCCAAUCAAGUUUUUCCCCAAUUACUCUAAUCCAUUAUCCCCAUUUCCCCUUUUUCAUUUCAAUCUAGCUACGGUCGCAUUUUCCCCAAAUCUUAAUCCUUUUCACUUUCCCUUAUCUCCAAUUACGUUUUCGAUUUUUUCCAAAUCACACUAAUUUCUCAGAUCCAUUUUCCCCUUUUAAUUUCACACAUUGAAAUCCCUUAAAUCCAGUCGUCCGGUGAGAGAUCUUCAGAUGAUCUUUGUCCGUUUUGCUAACAUUCAGGCUAUCUGCUCAGCAUCGUCUUAUUCAACCCAUGAACUCGGCAGUCGGUGAUUUCUAUAGCAAAAAAUCUUCGACGCAAAAUGCACUUCGUCAGAAACUGAUUUUAGCUGUAAGUUUUUCUUUUUCAAUUUGGGUAUUUUUUUUAUUUAAUCGUUCCUUUUUUCUAUAAUAAUUAGGGUGUGGUGGUGUAUUUAAUAUCUUGCUUUCUGUUAAUUUUUAGAACCCCUAUUGUGAGGGUUUUAUUUUCAUCAGGGUGUGGCUAGUGUGAGUCUAAACUUUUAGAACUAAUGUUCGUAUAGAUAAUCUGCCAAAGAUGAUUUUUCAAAGAGGUCAGUCUUUCAGUUAUGUUUGCUUUUGACAUCUUGAAUUUAUUAACACUUUGAUCUUAGUCUGUUUUUCUGUAUUGCAUUUCCUCUAUAUUUGGAUUUUUCCAGAAGUUGACUCUAAACAUUAGUGUAUGAAUUUUAUGUUAAGGUCUUUGCAUUGAAUUAGUGCUUCAUGCUAGGUGUAGCUGCAAUAAAACCUGUCAAAUUAUGUCUAUUUACUAACAACCAAGAAUUAUUGCUUCAUGCUUGGUUUCUCUUAAUUAGCAG
RNAcentral lists this long non-coding RNA (858 nucleotides) under Nicotiana benthamiana. Its description in RNAcentral is "long non-coding RNA (NBEN_LNC025265)". Lineage: Eukaryota; Viridiplantae; Streptophyta; Magnoliopsida; Solanales; Solanaceae. The record is from RNAcentral.